GUGCUCCCUUCGGCAGCACAGAUACUAAAAUUGGAAUGAUACAGAGAAGAGUAGCAUGGCCCCUGCGCAAGGAUGACACCAGUUUUUAAAGAAUAAUAAAAAAGGCUG
Molecule: small nuclear RNA, 108 nt
Organism: Callithrix jacchus (white-tufted-ear marmoset)
Lineage: Eukaryota; Metazoa; Chordata; Mammalia; Primates; Cebidae
Source: Ensembl